GAAAGUAAGUAAGGGCGUAUGGGGGAUGCCUAGGCUCUUGGAGGCUAAGAAGGACGUGGUAAGCUGCGAAAAGCUGCGGGGAUUUGCAAACGAGACUCGAUCCGCAGAUAUCCGAAUGGGACAACCCGGCAGGUAGAAGACCUGUCACACCGCGAGGUGAGCUAACCCUCUGAACUGAAACAUCUAAGUAGGAGGAGGAAAAGAAAGAAACAUCGAUUUCCAAAGUAGCGGCGAGCGAAAUGGAAGAAGCCCAAACCGAUAUUGUUACGGCAAUAUCGGGGUUGUAGGACUGCAAUAUUCAAUUAACAAUGAACUGGAAUGGUCUGGAAAGUCCAUCCAUAGAGAGUGAAAGGCUCGUACAGGUAAGUUUGUUAUGCGAUAGCAGUAUCCUGAGUAUGGCGGGACACGAGGAAUCCUGUCAGAAUCAGCCGGGACCACCCGGUAAGGCUAAAUACUCCCAAGAGACCGAUAGUGGACCAGUACUGUGAAGGAAAGGUGAAAAGAACCCCGAACAGGGGAGUGAAAUAGAACCUGAAACCAUACGCUUACAACCGGUCGGAGCAGCUUCGUGCUGUGACGGCGUGCCUAUUGAAUAAUGAGCCUACGAGUUACUAAUCACUAGCGAGGUUAAGUGCAAGGAUGCACGGAGCCGAAGCGAAAGCGAGUCUGAACAGGGCGUUUAGUUAGUGGUUGUAGACGCGAAACCUUGCGAUCUACCCUUGAGCAGGUUGAAGGUUGGGUAAAACCAACUGGAGGACCGAACGAAUAAGCGUUGAAAAGCUUCUCGAUGACUUGAGGGUAGGGGUGAAAGGCUAAUCAAGCUGGGAAAUAGCUCGUACUCCCCGAAAUGCCUUUUGGGGCAGCGUUGUAAUAAAGAGUCUACUGGAGGUAGAGCUACUGAUUGGAUGCGGGGGCUUCACCGCCUACCAAAUCCUGACAAACUCCGAAUGCCAGUAGUAUGAUUUACAGCAGUGAGUGACUGGGUGCUAAUGUCCAGUCGCAAAAGAGGAACAACUCAGACCAGCAACUAAGGUCCCGAAGAAUAUGCUAAGUUGAUCUAACGAUGUUUUGUUGCAGAGACAGCUAGGAUGUUAGCUUGGAAGCAGCUAUUCAUUCAAAGAGUGCGUAACAGCUCACUAGUCGAGCGACAGAGCGUGGAUAAUAAACGGGCAUCAAGCAUAUCACCGAAGUUCUGGGCGCGAGAGCGCGGUAGGGGAGCAUUCCAUUCAGCGUCGAAGCAGUUUCGUGAGGAAUUGUGGAGCGUAUGGAAAAGCAAAUGUAGGCAUGAGUAACGAUAAUGCGGGAGAGUAACCCGCACACCGCAAGACCAAGGUUUCCUGAUCAACGCUAAUCGGAUCAGGGUUAGUCGGGUCCUAAGGGUAAGCCGAACGGCGAUCUCGAUGGAUAAUCGGUUAAUAUUCCGAUACUAACAUAUACCUCGAUGGAGAGACGAAGGAACGUAAGUGCCGCCACCUGACGGAAUAGGUGGUUAAAGGGCGUAGGUAUAGGGGCAGAUUAAGAGUUAGUCCUUGCUGAAACCUGACAGUACAGAGAGCCUACGGGCAAUUUGAUAGAGCACCCAAGUCGACUUCCGAGAAAAUCUUCUAAGUUAUAGUAUAUGUUACCCGUACCGUAAACCGACACAGGUGGUCGAGGAGAGUAUCCUAAGGUGCUCGAGUGAAUCACGGUUAAGGAACUAGGCAAAUUAACCCCGUAACUUCGGGAAAAGGGGUCCCUAUGAAAGUAGGGCGCAGCGAAGAGGUCCAGGCGACUGUUUAUCAAAAACACAGGGCUCUGCAAAUUCGAAAGAAGACGUAUAGGGCCUGACACCUGCCCGGUGCUGGAAGGUUAAGAGGGGAUGUCAUCGCAAGAGAAGCAUUGAAUCGAAGCCCCAGUAAACGGCGGCCGUAACUAUAACGGUCCUAAGGUAGCGAAAUUCCUUGUCGGGUAAGUUCCGACCUG
Molecule: ribosomal RNA, 1962 nt
Filed under: human gut metagenome
Description: bacterial LSU rRNA
Rfam family: Bacterial large subunit ribosomal RNA
Source: RNAcentral